Ananas comosus (pineapple) is the source of this 754-nucleotide long non-coding RNA. RefSeq lists it as uncharacterized. The record is from RefSeq and is a predicted model, not a curated record. Lineage: Eukaryota; Viridiplantae; Streptophyta; Magnoliopsida; Poales; Bromeliaceae. The transcript is spliced from 4 exons.
AGAAGCCCAAAUACAAAAAAAAAGGAAAAAAAAUCUAAUCGCUCCCCUCGCUCUCCUCGCUCCCCUCCUCCUCCUUCUCCACAUCCGAACGAAUCGUCUUCUCCUAGGUCGUAUCCUCUUCUCCCCUCGCUCAAACGCCCUCGCUCUCCUCCUCCUCCUCCGUCGCCGCAACCGAUGAGUUAGGGUUUCGGCGGCCGGAGUUCGGCCGCGAGGAUCUCGCGGGGACCGUCGCCGGAGGAGUAAGCGCCAAACGUCGAGGCGACGACGGUGGUGGGGAAGCAGGAGUCCGGCGACCUGGUUGUGCUCGUGGCGGCGUCGAAGGCGUGGAAGGUGUAGACGGAGAAGAAGGUUUCUCUGUUCUGCGAGGACGUGCGUCGCCUUUGAACAUUUGUUCUUACUACUAGUGGUUUCAGACGCAUCUAGCGCUCGUAAUAUUCAUCCACAACCUCAUUGCCCUUCGGGUUCAACAUCUUAAUUGCCGAGCUCACUACGACUGGAUCUGAUAUGAUAUUAUUAGCUUUUGUUUUCAUUUCUCUUUCUCUUGGGUUAAAAAGUUAGAAAUUGUUGGUACUAUAAUUUAGUGACUAAAUACUCGUUUAAAGAUAUAUGGAUAAUACCUUGAGACAUUUUGGUAUUAAUUAGUGUAACUACAAAACUUCUUUUAUAUGCUUUCUUUGUUAAUGCAAAUCAAGACGAAUAAAAUUAAAGAUAUGCUUAAUGAUAAUCAUCGUGGAGUGGUAUUAUAUUUUAAAAA